UACACUCCUGCGGGAGGCAGCAGUGGGGAAUUUUGGACAAUGGGCGAAAGCCUGAUCCAGCAAUGCCGCGUGAGUGAAGAAGGCCUUCGGGUUGUAAAGCUCUUUUGUCAGGGAAGAAACGGUGAAAGCUAAUAUCUUUUGCUAAUGACGGUACCUGAAGAAUAAGCACCGGCUAACUGCGUGCCAGCAGCCGCGGUAAUACGUAGGGUGCAAGCGUUAAUCGGAAUUACUGGGCGUAAAGCGUGCGCAGGCGGUUUUGUAAGUCUGAUGUGAAAUCCCCGGGCUCAACCUGGGAAUUGCAUUGGAGACUGCAAGGCUAGAAUCUGGCAGAGGGGGGUAGAAUUCCACGUGUAGCAGUGAAAUGCGUAGAUAUGUGGAGGAACACCGAUGGCGAAGGCAGCCCCCUGGGUCAAGAUUGACGCUCAUGCACGAAAGCGUGGGGAGCAAACAGGAUUAGAAACCCCUGUAGUCCCAUGAU
Molecule: ribosomal RNA, 478 nt
Filed under: uncultured organism
Description: partial 16S ribosomal RNA
Rfam family: Bacterial small subunit ribosomal RNA
Source: RNAcentral